RNAcentral lists this transfer RNA (65 nucleotides) under Eurycea cirrigera (southern two-lined salamander). RNAcentral describes it as "tRNA-Trp". It matches the Rfam family "tRNA". From Rfam's summary of the family: Transfer RNA (tRNA) molecules are approximately 80 nucleotides in length. Their secondary structure includes four short double-helical elements and three loops (D, anti-codon, and T loops). Lineage: Eukaryota; Metazoa; Chordata; Amphibia; Caudata; Plethodontidae. The record is from RNAcentral.
AGACUUAGGAUAUUAGACCAAGGGCCUUCCAAGCCCUAAGUAGAAGUUAAAACUUCUAGUCUUUG